Molecule: long non-coding RNA, 1022 nt
Organism: Drosophila santomea
Lineage: Eukaryota; Metazoa; Arthropoda; Insecta; Diptera; Drosophilidae
Exons: 2
Source: RefSeq, a predicted model, not a curated record
UUGUUAUUCUGUGGGUGUUGCUGCAUUUUAUAUUUGUUUUAAUUUCCUUGCCAUUUCCUUUGCCACAUUUGUCAGUCAAAUGGCACUGCCAACAGCAGGCGGGGUGGGGCAAGUUGAGUCUGUGCAACAGCAUUUCACGUUUUAGUGUUUAUUACAGUUUACUGGCGCCCAACGCAGGAAGUGCUGUUACUCGCUACUUCCGCCGAGCUCCCUGCCCAAUGGAUGUGAAAGUAUCAACCGGAAACCUGGGCGCUGCCUGCUAGUUGAAUUACCCCUCAGCUGGGAGCACAAGUUCCAUUUCGGCUGCCGUCCUCGCUCUUUCCACUUUUUGAGUUAUUAAACGCAAGUCGAGUGCUAUGGAGCCAUUAAACAUUUUAUUGACUUCACAUGCUUAACGGCCCAAAAAGGCAAUUUAUUACUCAUCACUUUACUUGGCCCCUACCAAAAGUCUUCGGCGUGGAGGGUUUAAAGAAAGGCUUUAAGGAGUCCAAGCAUCAGCUGCAUCUGAUGUGGAUUCCAUUAUAUCCUCUCCCACUUGGAUCUGUUAGUAUGUUGCGCCAAAAAAAAAAAACACGAGUAUCGAAGAAUGAGGGAAAUGUGUUAACAAAGGACCAUACAUCCCGACACGGAAACAAGGGCUGCCGAGAGGGAUACCUACGGUCUGGCCUGACGCUUGAAAAUGCCAAUCAUGUUGGGACCGGAUCACAGACGACGAGGCGGAGGACGGAAGGCCCGCGGACGAGGCGCCAAGUGAAAGUCCCGCCUCUCCACGGAUGACAUGUGGAUAAGUGGGCGAUUGAAUGACUGACUGACUCACUGAGUGAGUCCCUUUAAGUUCAUAAUGUGAACUGCCAGCGCUUAAGAGCAUUUACAGUUCAGUACAAAAUUCCGGAGAAUACCACUUCCUUUAUAAGGAGUGCCUUAUAAUGAGUAUAAUGCGGGUUUCUACUUUCUUCAUCCAUUCGAUUCGGUCAUUAAACCACUGAAGUUCACUUUAUAUACGAAUAAAUUAAGAAGUUUAA